GUUCGUGCUGAAGGCCUGUUUCCUAGGCUACAAACGGGGGACUAGUUCCCGGCCAACCCGCCUAGGGGAAAGUCCCCGGACCCUUGGCAGAGAGUGCCACGUGUGUACGCACGCAGACUUACCCCACCUCGCACUGGUUAGUCCGCCAAGAUGCGACCCCGCUCCUGUGGCGGGCGAGCUGAGCGGCGUGUGACGGGGCGUCAUCCGUCAGCUCUCCUAGUUACGCAGGCAGUGCGCCUCCUAGCGCGCCAACCACACGGGGCUCAUUCUCGGCACGGA
Molecule: ribozyme, 279 nt
Organism: Dipodomys ordii (Ord's kangaroo rat)
Lineage: Eukaryota; Metazoa; Chordata; Mammalia; Rodentia; Heteromyidae
Rfam family: RNase MRP
About the family: RNase MRP is an enzymatically active ribonucleoprotein with two distinct roles in eukaryotes. In mitochondria it plays a direct role in the initiation of mitochondrial DNA replication.
Source: Ensembl